GACGAACGCUGGCGGCGUGCUUAACACAUGCAAGUCGAACGAAGAGCGAUGGACGCUUGCUUCUAUCACUCUUAGUGGCGAACGGGUGAGUAACGCGUAAUCAACCUGCCCUUCAGAGGGGGACAACAGUUGGAAACGACUGCUAAUACCGCAUACGAUCCAAUCUCGGCAUCGGGACUGGAUGAAAGGUGGCCUCUAUUUAUAAGCUAUCACUGAAGGAGGGGAUUGCGUCUGAUUAGCUAGUUGGAGGGGUAACGGCCCACCAAGGCGAUGAUCAGUAGCCGGUCUGAGAGGAUGAACGGCCACAUUGGGACUGAGACACGGCCCAGACUCCUACGGGAGGCAGCAGUGGGGAAUCUUCCGCAAUGGACGAAAGUCUGACGGAGCAACGCCGCGUGAGUGAUGACGGCCUUCGGGUUGUAAAGCUCUGUUAAUCGGGACGAAUGGUUCUUGUGCGAAUAGUGCGAGGAUUUGACGGUACCGGAAUAGAAAGCCACGGCUAACUACGUG
RNAcentral lists this ribosomal RNA (510 nucleotides) under uncultured bacterium. Its description in RNAcentral is "partial 16S ribosomal RNA". It matches the Rfam family "Bacterial small subunit ribosomal RNA", at positions 28 to 507 of the family's 1533-position model. The record is from RNAcentral.